AGCUCCAAUAGCGUAUAUUAAAGUUGUUGCGGUUAAAAAGCUCGUAGUUGGAUUUCUGUCGGUGAGUGAAAGUCCGCUCUCAGUGGUUGGUACUUUUCAUGCCACCGGCAUCUUCCUGGGGACUGUGUCUGAUCUUAGUUGAUUGGCGCAUAAUCCAGGACUUUUACUUUGAAGAAAUGAGAGUGUUUCAAGCAGGCAAUCGCCGUGAAUACGUUAGCAUGGAAUAAUAGCAUCGGACCUCGUUCCAAAGCUGUUGGUUUCUUGGACCGAGGUAAAGGUGAAUAGGGAUUGUUGGGGGCAUUCGUAUUUAACUGUCAGAGGUGAAAUUCUUGGAUUUGUUGAAGACGGACUACUGCGAAAGCAUCUGCCAAAGAUGUUC
This 379-nucleotide ribosomal RNA is filed under the name uncultured eukaryote. RNAcentral's name for it is "SSU rRNA". It matches the Rfam family "Eukaryotic small subunit ribosomal RNA", at positions 587 to 969 of the family's 1831-position model. The record is from RNAcentral.